This 234-nucleotide ribosomal RNA is filed under the name uncultured bacterium. RNAcentral's name for it is "partial 16S ribosomal RNA". It matches the Rfam family "Bacterial small subunit ribosomal RNA", at positions 118 to 347 of the family's 1533-position model. The record is from RNAcentral.
UGAGUAACCUGCCCUUAACUCUGGGAUAAGCCUGGGAAACUGGAUCUAAUACCGGAUAUGACUCCUCAUCGCAUGGUGGGGGGUGGAAAGCUUUAUUGUGGUUUUGGAUGGACUCGCGGCCUAUCAGCUAGUUGGUGUGGGUAAUGGCCCACCAAGGCGACGACGGGUAGCCGGCCUGAGAGGGUGACCGGCCACACUGGGACUGAGACACGGCCCAGACUCCUACGGGAGCAG